This 77-nucleotide transfer RNA is filed under the name Pantoea ananatis. RNAcentral's name for it is "tRNA-Ala". Lineage: Bacteria; Pseudomonadati; Pseudomonadota; Gammaproteobacteria; Enterobacterales; Erwiniaceae. The record is from RNAcentral.
CGCGCUACUGGCGCAGGUGCCAGCGCACAGCGGUUUGCAACUGCUGGAUGCCGGAUGCGGAACCGGCUGGUACAGCC